Molecule: non-coding RNA, 560 nt
Organism: Drosophila melanogaster (fruit fly)
Lineage: Eukaryota; Metazoa; Arthropoda; Insecta; Diptera; Drosophilidae
Source: Ensembl
AAAAAAAAUUAACUAGCGUAGAUAUAUAAGAAUUAUUUUGCUUAUUCAGUUCUUUCCAUCGAGGAUCGUCUGUAGCUACAGUUAUAUUUUCAUGCCCAUUUAGCUCGCUACACAAAAAGGAGGAGAAAUGUUUAGCCACAAAUUGAAUCUGCGGUGAGUGAGUUAACGAGCGAGAGAGAGGUCUAGAUGGAUAUAGUAUAACCAUGCCAUAGUGUAUGCCAUACCAUAGGACACCAGCUAACGCCAACCCAACCCAAGCCAACCCAACGAGGAUAUGGCAUGAUGAUAUAGGGGCAGACGACGUGGAACGGGUAGUAGUUUUCAAGUGGUGCAGAGCGGCACAGAACGCUAAUUAAAAAGAUACUUGAUGGGAGCCACCGGAAACAAAACGGAAAAGCCAAAGAAGCGAGGCGGGCAAUGCGAAAAAAUGCGGGAAAAAUGGCUGAAAUGCGAAUGAAAGGCAAAGGCGAAUGGGAUGGCAAGCAAGUUAACGUUGCCAUGAAAUCGUCUAUGAAAUGUGAAUGUAAUCUAAUGAAUAAAAUGCAUCUGCUAACCCCCAU